CAAUAGCAUAUAUUAACGUUGUUGCAGUUGAAAAGCUCGUAGUUGAACUUUUGGUAGGAGCGACCUGGCCUUGGGCGCAUGCCCUUGUUUGCCGUGUGUCGUGUCUGGCCAUCCUUUUCCGCUUCGGCGGGAAUCUUUUACUGUGAGUAAACUGGAGUGCUCAAAACAAGACGUUUGUUUGGUACAUUAAAGCAUGGAAUAAUAAGAUAGGACCUGGUUACUAUUUUGUUGGUUUGCAUAGCUAGGUAAUGAUUAACAGGGACAGUUGGGGGUAUUCGUAUUUAAUUGUCAGAGGUGAAAUUCUUGGAUUUAUGAAAGACGAACGACUGCGAAAGCAUUUACCAAGGAUGUUUNCAUUAG
This 360-nucleotide ribosomal RNA is filed under the name uncultured eukaryote. RNAcentral describes it as "partial 18S ribosomal RNA". It matches the Rfam family "Eukaryotic small subunit ribosomal RNA", at positions 592 to 976 of the family's 1831-position model. The record is from RNAcentral.